GCCGAGGUGGUGAAACUGGCAGACACGCAGCGUUCAGGGCGCUGUGAGCGCAAGCUCGUGGGAGUUCAAAUCUCCCCCUCGGCA
Molecule: transfer RNA, 84 nt
Filed under: Candidatus Sungbacteria bacterium RIFCSPHIGHO2_01_FULL_54_26
Lineage: Bacteria; Candidatus Sungiibacteriota
Also listed under: 3 other names
Description: tRNA-Leu
Rfam family: tRNA
About the family: Transfer RNA (tRNA) molecules are approximately 80 nucleotides in length. Their secondary structure includes four short double-helical elements and three loops (D, anti-codon, and T loops).
Source: RNAcentral